This is a non-coding RNA of Arachis ipaensis, 921 nucleotides long. The record is from RefSeq and is a predicted model, not a curated record. Lineage: Eukaryota; Viridiplantae; Streptophyta; Magnoliopsida; Fabales; Fabaceae.
CAAAUUGAAAAUUAGAAACCCUAACCUAAUUUCCUCCAACCCUCAGCAGCUACCAGCCACACUUCCUUACCCCAACGGUCACACAACGCAGAGCAGAGAAAGAGAUUUGCGGGAAGAAGAGAAAGAAGACGCCGUUGCUGUCGCGCUUGACUGCUGCUGCCGUCGUCCUCAUCGCGCACUGCCACCGUCCAGCAGGUCGUCACGCCGAGCCCGUUCCACCACCGUCAACACUGCCAUGGAGAAGAGAAGACGACGUCGUAACGCGAGCCAAGGCCGAGAGGAAGGGGACGUCGCUGUGCCUCCAACGCGACCGAUCCGCCGCUGCCACUGGUAGGGUUCUGUCGCCGCCGUCCAUGGAGCUUCGAUUAGCGCCACUGUCAUCACAUACCAGAGGAGAGGGGAGCUCGUGUGUGAAGAGUAGCGCCGCUGUGCCUCCGUCGUGCCUUCAUCACCAUCGAACUGUCUUGCUGUUGCUAGCCUCAUAGCUACUUCUGAGGCUGCGCCGCCGUGCCUCUGGUCAUGGGUGGAGUCCACUCCAAGCUGUCACCAUCGCAGAAUACACGCAGAGGAGAGGGUGAAAGGACCUCCGCCGCUGUCAGGGUCGUUGGUGAGUCGUGCACUGUCACCAGAGUUUAAAACAGCACCAGCCUUCUUGUUCUGGUUCUGAUUCUCCUAUUCUUGAACCCUGACACAGGUUUGAAGACGCAAUUUGAAGCUGCGAGUGAUUAGUAGGUUUUCUUUAUGGUUUUAAUUGCUUUCAUAGAGUCCCCUCGCUCUUGUCGUUUAAGGUUUUAUUUUAACAGAGGGGUAGGUGUUGUAUUUGGGUUUAUAUGACUUCUUAUGUAUAAGAAUUACUAUUAAUAAUACUAUGUGAUUGUUAUUAUUAUUUGUAAAUGUUUGAAUUAUGACUUUAAUGAAUAA